GCCUGGUUAGCUCAGUUGGUAGAGCGCGUGGCUUUUAAGCGACUUCGAUUCGAAGCUUGCACUGAAACCUCGAAGUCACGGGUUCGAGCCCCGUAUCAGGCU
This is a non-coding RNA of Peziza echinospora, 102 nucleotides long. The record is from the annotation of a GenBank genome assembly. NCBI's taxonomy places the organism in Eukaryota, Fungi, Ascomycota, Pezizomycetes, Pezizales, Pezizaceae.